UGAUUUCGCGUGAUAUCAAUCACGUUCGAUCCGCUGAACGAAGCAGGUAGAAUAACGGUUUGUCCUUCCAAACCGAGGAUUUCUCGAAUGUCCGGAGCAUUGAUAAAACCAAUGGUAUGCGUGGACUGGAUAUAAAUACACCCAUAACUCGAAGCCUUCAUAGAUAUCGAGAAUGAAGUAUCGAUCAUGAUGUUGAGGAUGGCAAUGAUUUGACCGAUCGUAUAGUAUGAAGGAGGAAUCGUUAACUCCUCGUCAUUGGAGUUGGUGACCACAUUCGUAAAAUCCACAUUUUUGAACAUGACUUGAUUGGAUCUGAACAAGACAGUUAAGGAAGUGAUGUAAGGAUACUUGUACUUGUACGAAUUGAUCCACGAGAACGUGCCGUAACUAGAUGAGCCUUGGAUGAGCAUGGAGUAGUACAUCUGCUUUACCAUAAUAGUUAGGUAUUGACGUGGUUUUGCUUAAAACUUUGAUAUCUGCUGACAUGUGGCGUCAGGGACAGCAUGGAUUCCAUGGGGGCGCGGGCUAAGAGGCAGAUUAUUACUGCCGAUAAAGGGACGAUGGAAAAUAUAGCUACUUUGGCCGAAAAAGACACCCGAGAAAUAUCGCACAAUUUACGUCAAUUCAUUGCUACUUUUAUUCAUCUGCAAAAAUGUGACUAUUGCCUAUAACUGGAAUGAACCCUAUGCAAUUCAAUGGAUCCAAAGCACAUGACUGUAAUAACCACAAAGAGCAAAACAAAGAUAUAAUAGCUUAAUAUAAUUUAUCUGGUUAUUUAUGCAUCCAUUUCAAAGCCUUAACGGUUUAAUAUCAAGUAAAGUAAUAAAUAAUAUAUAGUAUCAGUGAUAGGAGAGUAGAUGAAAUAUAAAAUAAUGGUAAUAUGACGUAUUUUACACUUUGUAUUACUUAUUUUAACGUUGUGAUUUAUUACAAUCAAUUAUAAUUAUAUUUAUAAUUAUUACUUCUGUUAUAUAUAUAUGAUUAUUAUCUUUUUUUAUCACUGUAGCAUUUUGUAGAGAAUUGCCUCUAUAAGUGUAUUCAUGAAAGUAUUGAAAUAACUAACGAAAUUAGUGUGUUAACAAAAAAGGUCUAUCAAUGAAUUUAGUAUAAAGUAAUUCAUAAAGAAUAAUAAAUGUUACACAACUCUAGAUACUUUAAAAACAUUUGUUAGUUACAAAUGUUAAUAAAAUACUGUGUUAUUCAAUAUCGCUACCUUAUUAACAAUUGUUAUAAAACAAUAUUAUUAUAAAUAUUCCGUGGUUCUGAAGACACUUCAGCUAACAUUUUAUUUGAGUCUAUCAUAAAACUAGUUGUAGGAAACGAAUCAUUCUUUUACUAAAUGGAUAAUGUACAUAACCCAUAAUUACAUUAUAAUGUCGUAUAAAUGUGUAUGUGUAAACUUAUAUGGAAUGUCCAUUAGUGCAGAUCUUGGUGGAAGUAGCAAAUAUUCAAAUGAGAUCUUUGAAGACUGAAGUGGAGAAAGGUUCCAUAGGAAUCGUGUUGAACUAUGGGUUAGUCGGUCCUAAGAGAUAGGUGAAAUCCGUUGAAAAAGUUCUUUUGUAUUUUUAGAGCUGUGGAUCGAAAGGGAAUCAGGUUAAUAUUCCUGAACCAAUGAAAUGGAAUACGAAUGGUAACAGAGAAUAAUAUUAUGACAUCGGUUACUCUCCUGGGAAGAGUUUUCUUUUCUUGUUAACAAUAAUAAAAGCUUGGAAUGGAAUGAAUCCGCGAAAAGGUUUUGUUAUUGGUAAAGGAAUUCAAUAUUUUGAAUUCUCCGGUGCAGAGUAAUGGGUCCUUGAAAAGUAAUAUUAUUUCCCUCCCUUUGGGAAUACAUUUCAUUGUCCGUACUCAUAACCGCAUCAGAUCUCCAAGGUGAAUAGCCUCUAGUUAAUAGAAUAAUGUAGAUAAGGGAAGUCGGCAAAUUAGAUCCGUAACUUCGGGAUAAGGAUUGGCUCUGAGGGCUAGGUGUGAUUUUAUCAGCAAUGAUCGAAUCGUCAGUUCUUGGUUAUCAAAUGAAUGAGAUGAUUGAUGGAGUUGUUAAUUUCCCCCUGGGGAGGUGGACGGCCCUAUUAACUAUUUCUGCAAUUUGUGAACCUUGAAUUUGAAGCACAAUGAAUAGCUGACUCAGAACUGGUACGGACAAGGGGAAUCCGACUGUUUAAUUAAAACAAAGCAUUGUGAUAGUGUGAAAGAUAUAUUGACACAAUGUGAAUUCUGCCCAGUGCUCUGAAUGUCAAAGUGAAGGAAUUCAACCAAGCGCGGGUAAACGGCGGGAGUAACUAUGACUCUCUUAAGGUAGCCAAAUGCCUCGUCAUCUAAUUAGUGACGCGCAUGAAUGGAUUAAUGAGAUUCCCACUGUCCCUAUCUACUAUCUAGCGAAACCACAGCCAAGGGAAUGGGCUUGGAAAUAUCAGCGGGGAAAGAAGACCCUGUUGAGCUUGACUCUAGUCUGACAUUGUGAAAUGACUUAGAGGGUGUAGAAUAGGUGGGAGAUUUUACAAUUGUAGGGUCGAAGGUGAAAUACCACUACCUCUAAUGUUGUUUUACUUAUUCCAUAAUAUGGGGUGAUAACUCUCUGAGUUAUCUGAAUGCGUAAAUACUUUUAGUAAGUAUGACCCACGUGGGAGACAUUGUUAGGUAGGGAGUUCGGCUGGGGCGGCACAUCUGUUAAAGAAUAACACAGGUGUCCUAAGAUGAGCUCAGUAAGAACAGAAAUCUUACGUAGAAUAAAAGGGUAAAAGCUCAUUUGAUUUUGAUUUUCAGUAUGAAUACAAACUACGAAAAUAUGGCCUAUCGAUCCUUUAGAUAUUUGAAUUUAGAGUUUAAAGCUAGAGGUGUCAGAAAAGUUACCACAGGGAUAACUGGCUUGUGGCGGCCAAGCGUUCAUAGCGACGUCGCUUUUUGAUUCUUCGAUGUCGGCUCUUCCUACCAAUACCUUGCAGACUGGGUAAAAUGUGAGAUUGCUUAUCUCAAAAUAGAAAGAAAAUCCUUUGACCUGUCGCUUUGAGCUAUAAACUGUUUCACUUUUAACAGAUCGAUCAGGUUAUGUAAAAAAGCCACAGCUGUCAUUGUAUUUAAUAUCCUCUAAAAUGAGCUGGUUCCUUAUAUAAACACGAUAUUUUAUUCAUUUUUGCUCAUAUAAUCAAUUCUAUAAGAGUAAAUCAUAUUAUAGCUACAGUCGAAAAUAGGCUAAGUUUACUAUGUUUUUGCUUUUCUGUAAAAUAAACAAUGAUUCCUUCGACAAUAUAUCAUUCUUGUUGAACUUUCGACAGUUGCUCCCUCUUUGAAGCUAUAUGCUGUUUACAGAUGACUCGAAAAACAAGAAUAUUACAACAUGAAUUUUGAAUGUACUUAAUUUAGAAAUGCCUGAUUUAUAAAGAACUGA
This 3382-nucleotide ribosomal RNA is filed under the name Blastocystis hominis. RNAcentral's name for it is "eukaryotic LSU rRNA". The stretch from base 801 to 3382 matches the Rfam family "Eukaryotic large subunit ribosomal RNA". Lineage: Eukaryota; Bigyra; Opalinata; Blastocystidae. The record is from RNAcentral.